Long non-coding RNA from Corticium candelabrum, 348 nucleotides. RefSeq lists it as uncharacterized. The transcript is spliced from 3 exons. Lineage: Eukaryota; Metazoa; Porifera; Homoscleromorpha; Homosclerophorida; Plakinidae. The record is from RefSeq and is a predicted model, not a curated record.
AUUUACUAUCAAGAGGGAAAACCUUUGAAGGUGAUUCUAGCGUAUUUGGCUGCGAAUCACGUUGUUCGGAGCAUGAGCUGGCUGAAGCGAAAGGCUAGAGCUCUUGGUCUUCGAAGAAGAAACGGUAGCUGGGAUCUGCUAGUACUGCCUGACAUCUUGCAAGCAAUGCAGAUAGAAAUUGAGCGGUGUGGGAGAGGUGCUGGUUAUCGGUCUCUCUGGAAGAGAUUAAAGGAUCGUCAUGGGCUAGCAGUACGACGGUUAGUAAACUUAUUAGUUGUAUGAUUAGUUACACUAAAGUUUGCAUUUGUAUCUCAUUGAGCUGAAUAAAUUGCACCUCGACAUUUCAGU